UACGAAGGGGGCUAGCGUUGCUCGGAAUCACUGGGCGUAAAGGGUGCGUAGGCGGGUCUUUUAGUCAGGGGUGAAAUCCCGAGGCUCAACCUCGGAACUGCCUUUGAUACUGGGGAUCUCGAGUCCGGAAGAGGUAAGUGGAACUGCGAGUGUAGAGGUGAAAUUCGUAGAUAUUCGCAAGAACACCAGUGGCGAAGGCGGCUUACUGGUCCGGAACUGACGCUGAGGUGCGAAAGCGUGGGGAGCAAACAGG
RNAcentral lists this ribosomal RNA (253 nucleotides) under uncultured bacterium. Its description in RNAcentral is "partial 16S ribosomal RNA". It matches the Rfam family "Bacterial small subunit ribosomal RNA", at positions 524 to 776 of the family's 1533-position model. The record is from RNAcentral.